GCCCAGGUGGUGAAAUUGGUAGACACGCUAUCUUGAGGGGGUAGUGCGCGAGCGUGCGGGUUCGAGUCCCGCCCUGGGCACCA
RNAcentral lists this transfer RNA (83 nucleotides) under Anaerobiospirillum succiniciproducens. RNAcentral's name for it is "tRNA-Leu". It matches the Rfam family "tRNA". From Rfam's summary of the family: Transfer RNA (tRNA) molecules are approximately 80 nucleotides in length. Their secondary structure includes four short double-helical elements and three loops (D, anti-codon, and T loops). Further hydrogen bonds mediate the characteristic L-shaped molecular structure. tRNAs have two regions of fundamental functional importance: the anti-codon, which is responsible for specific mRNA codon recognition, and the 3' end, to which the tRNAs corresponding amino acid is attached (by aminoacyl-tRNA synthetases). tRNAs cope with the degeneracy of the genetic code in two manners: having more than one tRNA (with a specific anti-codon) for a particular amino acid; and 'wobble' base-pairing, i.e. permitting non-standard base-pairing at the 3rd anti-codon position. The record is from RNAcentral. Lineage: Bacteria; Pseudomonadati; Pseudomonadota; Gammaproteobacteria; Aeromonadales; Succinivibrionaceae.